Molecule: ribosomal RNA, 253 nt
Filed under: uncultured bacterium
Lineage: Bacteria
Description: partial 16S ribosomal RNA
Rfam family: Bacterial small subunit ribosomal RNA
Source: RNAcentral
GACGGAGGAUGCAAGCGUUAUCCGGAAUGAUUGGGCGUAAAGCGUCCGCAGGUGGCAGUUCAAGUCUGCUGUCAAAGACCGGGGCUUAACUUCGGAAAGGCAGUGGAAACUGAACAGCUAGAGUAUGGUAGGGGCAGAGGGAAUUCCUGGUGUAGCGGUGAAAUGCGUAGAGAUCAGGAAGAACACCGGUGGCGAAGGCGGCUCUCUGGAACGGUACUGACGCUGAGACGCGAAAGCGUGGGGAGCGAACAGG